This 471-nucleotide ribosomal RNA is filed under the name uncultured bacterium. RNAcentral's name for it is "bacterial SSU rRNA". It matches the Rfam family "Bacterial small subunit ribosomal RNA", at positions 332 to 793 of the family's 1533-position model. The record is from RNAcentral.
GUGACUCCUACGGGGAGGCAGCAGUGGGGAAUAUUGCACAAUGGGGGAAACCCUGAUGCAGCCAUGCCGCGUGUGUGAAGAAGGCCUUCGGGUUGUAAAGCACUUUCAGUAGGGAGGAAGGUAGUGUAGUUAACACCUGCAUUAUUUGACGUUACCUACAGAAGAAGCACCGGCUAACUCCGUGCCAGCAGCCGCGGUAAUACGGAGGGUGCGAGCGUUAAUCGGAAUUACUGGGCGUAAAGCGCAUGCAGGCGGCCUGUUAAGUCAGAUGUGAAAGCCCGGGGCUUAACCUCGGAAUUGCAUUUGAAACUGGCAGGCUAGAGUCUUGUAGAGGGGGGUAGGAAUUUCAGGUGUAGCGGUGAAAUGCGUAGAGAUCUGAAGGAAUACCAGUGGCGAAGGCGGCCCCCUGGACAAAGACUGACGCUCAGAUGCGAAAGCGUGGGGAGCAAACAGGAUUAGAUACCCUGGUAG